AUGCCAAAGGCUCCUCCAGCCCUCACCAGGCCUCCUCCUCUAGUUCUCCAGGUCUCAGGUCAGUGUUGCUGCCCUGGUGGAAGCCCAGCUCGUGGUGGAGGAAGCCAGCUUGCAGAGAGAGCGAGAGCAGAGCCAGCACACACAUUGGAGCAAAGGCAAGGGCAAAUGGAAAGUUCUGGCGGCAUCACGUCAAGGCUCCCAUCCGAGGCCUCCCUGAACCCCACUCUCUCCAGGUGUAACCUGCUUGCUGAGCACCACCUUGGAUGCUGCGGGCUGGUACAUUCCCCACUUGCAAAACUCUGCGGGACUGGGUUCCUCUCUUUUCUUUCCAAAUAUCUCAGGAAGUGGAUGGUUUUUUCCAAAUUCUGCAGAUGAGUAAAAAGAGUCUUCGGGAGGUGCAAUAGCUUUCCAGGGAUGAGGUAACUGGGAGCAGAGCUGGUGUUCAAACCCGGUCUGCUCAACUCAAAAUCCACAGCAUUUCCCUGCCCUGAAAUGACCCACAUCUGCACUGCUUGCCCACAUCUGCACUGCUUGCCCACAUCUGCACUGCUGGUCUUUGGCUGUUCGAGUAUCAGCUCCCUGAGCACAGAACCUGGCUGUCCCUGCCGUCCCCAGCUCCUGGAGCAGGGCCCAAGUGGAGCAGCAUUUGCUGUCUGUGCAGAGGCAGACCCUGGGAUAUGGGGACGUGAGCGAGGCUCUGUAAGUCAGGUGUCCCCAUCCACGGCGAUGCUGAGUGGGUGGCACCCUGCUCCUUCACUGCCUCUAGACAUGGGGGUGGGGGGAUGGGAGGACACAGGUGGAUUUGAGUGCCUCUUGCAGGGGAAGGUGAUGUAGAAACUCUGGGUUCCUCCCGUUCUAUGGCCACCUUCUCCAGGAAGCCUUCCUGACUACCCAGACAGCACUGAGUCUUCCUGACACUCUGACUGACUCUUUUAAAUUCUCACCACGCAGCAUCCCCUUGUGAUUCUGCUUUUCUUUCAGUCUGUGGCUUGUCACUCCCAAUCAUCUGCCUCUCCCACAGAAACAUGUUGCAUAGUUUCAGGAUCCCCCAGGCAUGUCACCUUCAGCCCAACAUUGGUAACCUUGGCUGUGCUGGCCCUUGGGGACCAUCACUCCAGCCUUAGCAGACCCUGACCCAGCUGUCCAACUCAGCCACUGAGUCAGGUGCAGCAGCAGGUGUGUGGCUGGUGGCUUUGGCCUUCUUUUCUGGCCAGAGUGCACCAUGUCUCCAGCCACAGUGGGUUUCCUUGGUCCAUGGAAGCUGGCCUCUGCCUCGGGGCUCUGAUUCAUUCCCUGUUCUCCCACUGGGCUGCAAUCCUGUCUUGACAUCCAGCCUAAUCUUUGCCCACCUCCACACUCUCCCCAGCUCAGCUGCACUCCGACCAGUGGCUGCAGAAGCCCUGAGUCAAAUAACUACGGACUCAAAGCCCCACUACCUGCCACUCUGGCCACCAACUGCCACCACCUCAGAAUUCCUUUGCCCUGCACUUCCUCUGAGCCCUUAGAUCUGGGACAUGGCCCAGACCAAGUCCCUGGAAUAGACCCACUGGCUCAGAGAGCAUCUAGCCCCAGCUGCCGGACACCUACAUGGACCCAAUUGCACCCCACCCCCAAUGCCCAAAACAAGCCCUUUCGAGCCACCUCCAAGGG
Molecule: long non-coding RNA, 1650 nt
Filed under: Macaca mulatta (Rhesus monkey)
Lineage: Eukaryota; Metazoa; Chordata; Mammalia; Primates; Cercopithecidae
Description: lncRNA (ENSMMUG00000064358.1)
Source: RNAcentral